This 234-nucleotide long non-coding RNA is filed under the name Gallus gallus (chicken). The record is from RNAcentral. Lineage: Eukaryota; Metazoa; Chordata; Aves; Galliformes; Phasianidae.
GUUAACAGCUCUGCCUUUUUUGCACAGCUCAAUUCCUCUUGGGCUCUGUAUCACGCACUGUCUGCACUGAUGCGACAUGAAAAUAGAAAAAACCCUGCAGACCCUGAGAAGAAUAGAAUCAGGAGAGAAUCUGUGCGGCCAGCAGCUCCUAGCCCACCGCCUGGACCUUCUCCAUGUCCAUUGCCUGCACUGGAUUUACCAGCAAACCUCUCUGUAACAUCCGUUGGAUCAAAC